GUCAGGAUGGGGCCGAGCGGUCUAAGGGCGCUGCGUUCAGGUCGCAGUCUCCCCUGGAGGCGUGGGUUCCGAAUCCCACAUUCUGACA
Molecule: transfer RNA, 88 nt
Filed under: Merluccius polli (Benguela hake)
Lineage: Eukaryota; Metazoa; Chordata; Actinopteri; Gadiformes; Merlucciidae
Description: tRNA-Leu
Source: RNAcentral